Canis lupus familiaris (dog) is the source of this 1487-nucleotide long non-coding RNA. RefSeq lists it as uncharacterized. Lineage: Eukaryota; Metazoa; Chordata; Mammalia; Carnivora; Canidae. The record is from RefSeq and is a predicted model, not a curated record. The transcript is spliced from 2 exons.
GAGCCGGAGCCCCCGAGCGCGCUGCGGCCACACGCGGUCCCCGGGCAGCCACGCGCGCUUCUCAGUCUGCGCAGACGCUUCGCACUUACGUGGUAAAACUGCUGUUUUCGCUUCAGUUAAAAUGGAAAAAAAAUAAAAAGGAAAAUCUCUCACGUUAGGCACUACUUAAGUUGCUUUCCAUGUAUCCUUGGGAAAUCUGAAGGAUCGCGGCCAAAAUGUGAAGCUAAAAUUACGCACGACGCCCAUGCAACGCUCCCGGACGAUUGUGUCUGGAAAAGCGCCUCGCAGGCUGCUAAUGCAUUUGACACAGAUGUUUCUUUUCUCCGAAAACGCGGCUCCAACUGUGAAUAGCUGUAGACGCCGCUGAAGCCGAGCCCGCCGCCUACCGGAUGCGGAGAUCUCCGUGGCGACCCCUGCAGCAAGCCCAGGGCCCUUCCCCAGGCGCGUCCGCCCGCGCAGGCCGGACCGAAGGCUCCGAAUGAAGCGGGCCCACCUCGGCUCUCUGCGGCGCGACACUGUUUGAAGUAAAGGAGAACCGAAAACCCGCCUAUUUUCCUGUCAGAUGGGUGGUGUCGUGGCUUUUAUACAUCCCGGAGGGGGGAACAACAGACAAGAAAAGCAAAAAGCAAAGAAAGAAGGAAGAGGAGGAGGAAGAAAGAGAGGAGGACAAAGGACAGGGAGAGAGGAAGGAGACUGAGAUCAACCAACAGGAUAAUUUUUUCUCCCUAUAUACCUUUACUACACUGAGAAGGAAGAUUCGCAAGUUUCUUUAGCAAGCCACAGAAUUCAACUAGGGAUAUUUCCUUAUCAUAGGAUGGGAUAGGAAAAAUACCAAAAAAUGGAACCCAUGAUUUUGACCCGUAAAUCUAUGUGCUUUUGAGAAGUUAUUUCCUUUAAUAAGUACAUGAAUGGAGACCAAAUUAAACACCCUUUUGUAGAAGUAAUACGAGCAUGACAAGCUUUAUUAAAUUUAAGAAGCUUUACGUUACUUACAGCUAUUCAAAAUUAUUCCUUUUGGUUUUGUUUAAACUGAAUUUUAUCACUGUUUUUUAAUUCAUAUGUUAAUUUCUAAAAACAUAGUGGCUAUGAAUAUAUGUAAAAGAAGAGAGCACUCAUUAUUAAAGUAUCUAUAGGAAGAUUUAGGGUUUUCAAAAACUUUGAAUUAUUUAUUCAAUCCCAAAUAGCUAUGGAACACUUACUUUGUGCUCACAGUGGCUAGCAGGUAUUGAAAUCACAGAAGGAUGUAGAACAUUUGCUAACCUGUGGGUGUAAAAUUUAGGUUGGACAAAAAGACAAGAGCAACCAGGUUGUUUACUUGGUACAUGAAAAAUGGGCCUCAGUAUUUCUGCCUAUUAUUAUAUAAGAAGAAAUAAAAUAUGAGCUUUUACUUUUAGGUGAAAUGAGGUAUUCUAGGAUAUUACAAAUAAGUUUGACUUAAACUGUUGUUAAAGUUAAUCUAAAUAAAUUAGUCAACCUGACAAAUGGAA